Molecule: transfer-messenger RNA, 499 nt
Filed under: Endomicrobium sp.
Lineage: Bacteria; Pseudomonadati; Elusimicrobiota; Endomicrobiia; Endomicrobiales; Endomicrobiaceae
Rfam family: transfer-messenger RNA
About the family: Bacterial tmRNA, also known as 10Sa RNA or SsrA, is named for its dual tRNA and mRNA-like properties. Its role is to liberate the mRNA from a stalled ribosome.
Source: RNAcentral
GGGGGUGAACAGGGUUCGACGGGGGUAAUUGAUGUGACGACAGCAGGCCGGAGUUAGUCGAUGGCUCCGUAAAAAUCGACUAAAAAACAAACAACAAUGAACAAAAAUGUUCAAAAGACACCUUGGAUAGUAAGCGUGGAAGCCGUUAUGGUCAAGCAGCAGAAGCAGUGAUAGCAAAGGGGCUUAUUCAGCCCAUGAUGCAUCCUGCGAUGAUGCGUUCUCCUAUGGCUCCGUUAUUUGCUUAGCAUUCAGGACGUCGUGUGGCUGCUUGCAGCAGCUCCGUUUUACUCCAGACACCUGCUAUGGAGAUAAAACGUCAAGAGCAGGUUAGUUUUAAACGAUAUGAUGUCAGUCGGUUAAAAUGAAGUACAAUGGCACCAAUUUGUAAUGCGAUUCUGUCCGGAGACAGCGUUACAAAUUAGAAAAUUUUCGGACUAAGCCUGUAGCGGUCUUACUGAAAUGCUUUCGGACGCGGGUUCGAUUCCCGCCACCUCCACAU